Molecule: ribosomal RNA, 874 nt
Filed under: Bacillus velezensis
Lineage: Bacteria; Bacillati; Bacillota; Bacilli; Caryophanales; Bacillaceae
Description: bacterial SSU rRNA
Rfam family: Bacterial small subunit ribosomal RNA
Source: RNAcentral
GACGAACGCUGGCGGCGUGCCUAAUACAUGCAAGUCGAGCGGACAGAUGGGAGCUUGCUCCCUGAUGUUAGCGGCGGACGGGUGAGUAACACGUGGGUAACCUGCCUGUAAGACUGGGAUAACUCCGGGAAACCGGGGCUAAUACCGGAUGGUUGUUUGAACCGCAUGGUUCAGACAUAAAAGGUGGCUUCGGCUACCACUUACAGAUGGACCCGCGGCGCAUUAGCUAGUUGGUGAGGUAACGGCUCACCAAGGCAACGAUGCGUAGCCGACCUGAGAGGGUGAUCGGCCACACUGGGACUGAGACACGGCCCAGACUCCUACGGGAGGCAGCAGUAGGGAAUCUUCCGCAAUGGACGAAAGUCUGACGGAGCAACGCCGCGUGAGUGAUGAAGGUUUUCGGAUCGUAAAGCUCUGUUGUUAGGGAAGAACAAGUGCCGUUCAAAUAGGGCGGCACCUUGACGGUACCUAACCAGAAAGCCACGGCUAACUACGUGCCAGCAGCCGCGGUAAUACGUAGGUGGCAAGCGUUGUCCGGAAUUAUUGGGCGUAAAGGGCUCGCAGGCGGUUUCUUAAGUCUGAUGUGAAAGCCCCCGGCUCAACCGGGGAGGGUCAUUGGAAACUGGGGAACUUGAGUGCAGAAGAGGAGAGUGGAAUUCCACGUGUAGCGGUGAAAUGCGUAGAGAUGUGGAGGAACACCAGUGGCGAAGGCGACUCUCUGGUCUGUAACUGACGCUGAGGAGCGAAAGCGUGGGGAGCGAACAGGAUUAGAUACCCUGGUAGUCCACGCCGUAAACGAUGAGUGCUAAGUGUUAGGGGGUUUCCGCCCCUUAGUGCUGCAGCUAACGCAUUAAGCACUCCGCCUGGAGUUCGU